This is a non-coding RNA of Tinamus guttatus (white-throated tinamou), 135 nucleotides long. Lineage: Eukaryota; Metazoa; Chordata; Aves; Tinamiformes; Tinamidae. The record is from RefSeq and is a predicted model, not a curated record.
CUCCGGAGUUUACGUGCUACAAAAGCAUUUGGAACAUAUUAGCUGCUCUCUUGUCCUGACUUGUGGCUCUUCCCAUAGGGCAGGGAAAGGUGAUUUCUAAAGUGAGAAGUGAUCAACUCUGUUGAAGCAUGGAGG